UCCAUUGUUGAUUUCUAAUAUAUAUAUAUAUCAAAAAUUUUCUACUUGAAUGUUUAAGAAUAGGACAUAGAAUGACCUUACCACAGUAAUUUUCUUUGUGAAUGUGGACUUGAUUAACAAACACUGGGAUUUUAGAGGGAAAAAAAUCCUAUUUAAGAUAUUCAAUUAAUUAAUCUUAAAAUCCUGCAUAUUAAAAUUUGACUCACCAUUCUGCAGGGCUUGGAAGCCUCAGGAAACUUAAAUCAUGGUGGAAGAGGCAGCAAACACUUCCUUCUUCACAUAGCAGCAAGGAGAAGUGCAGAGCAAAAUGAGUGUAAAGCCCUUUAUAAAACCAUCAGAUAUUGUUAGAACUUAUUCAGUAUCACAAGAAGAGCCUGAAGAUGUCUACCCGCCUUCCCCUAAAUUCAUGUGUGGGAAUCCAAUCCCUCAGAAGUCUAUAAAAGGUACUCUGAAUAUGGAGAUGAGUAAAACCAAGCUUCCACAUUCCAUGCUCUCACAAUAAAACAUGGCAAUAUUGUGGAGACAGCAGUUGUCACAUGAACCCAGAUACCAGGC
Callithrix jacchus (white-tufted-ear marmoset) is the source of this 555-nucleotide long non-coding RNA. Lineage: Eukaryota; Metazoa; Chordata; Mammalia; Primates; Cebidae. The record is from Ensembl.